Molecule: small nucleolar RNA, 217 nt
Organism: Sorex araneus (European shrew)
Lineage: Eukaryota; Metazoa; Chordata; Mammalia; Eulipotyphla; Soricidae
Product: small nucleolar RNA U3
Exons: 1
Source: RefSeq, a predicted model, not a curated record
AAGACUAAACUCUCAGGGAUCCUCCUUUCUCUAGUCCAUUAUUGGAGAAGUUUCCCUGAUCGAGUAGAGCACCCCAAAUGACCAGGAGGAGCCAGAGCUUCCUCUCCGGAGCGCGAGGUCAGUUCUAGGUCUUACUUUUGCAACUGCCUUUUAUCACAGAUGCACGUUCUCCUCUUCCUCUGGAAGAACUAGAGGGAGAGGCUGUAGUCUGAGUGGU